Molecule: ribosomal RNA, 229 nt
Filed under: uncultured bacterium
Lineage: Bacteria
Description: partial 16S ribosomal RNA
Rfam family: Bacterial small subunit ribosomal RNA
Source: RNAcentral
UGCGUAGGCGGAUUGUUAAGUCAGUGGUGAAAGUCUACGGCUCAACCGUAGAAGUGCCAUUGAUACUGGCAGUCUUGAGUACAGUAGAGGUAGGCGGAAUUUAUGGUGUAGCGGUGACAUGCAUAGAUACCAUAAAGAACACCUAUAGCGAAGGCAGCUUACUAUGCUGUAACUGACGCUGAGGCACGAAAGCGUGGGGAGCGAACAGGAUUAGAUACCCUGGUAGUCC